GGCAUCCUGCCUUGUUCGAUUUGUUGCGGCUUGAUAUAAUCCUACUAAUCAAUCAUCGGGAGCCCGGACUGGUCCGGCAGCGGAUUGCAGACCUCCCGCCUCUGGCGGAAGAAGGGAGCAUGAUCCUGCUGGCAGGGCACCCACCUGCCAUACAGGUAGGUUUUGAUUGGUCGCAGACGGCAAGGCGGGUUGUUU
RNAcentral lists this non-coding RNA (195 nucleotides) under Candidatus Anaerofilum faecale. RNAcentral describes it as "6S RNA". It matches the Rfam family "6S / SsrS RNA". From Rfam's summary of the family: E. coli 6S RNA was the first non coding RNA to be sequenced, but its function was unknown until recently. It consists of 184 nucleotides that fold into an extended hairpin structure with a large single-stranded internal bulge. Lineage: Bacteria; Bacillati; Bacillota; Clostridia; Eubacteriales; Oscillospiraceae. The record is from RNAcentral.